AAGCGGUGGAGCAUGUGGCUUAAUUCGAGGCUACGCGAAGACCUUAUCCUGGGCUUGACAUGUGCGAAAGCACUAGGAAGUAGGGGGCGGAAACGUUCCCCCAACGGUAUCCAGUCCGGAACCUAGUACAGGUGCUGCAUGGCUGUCGCCAGCUCGUGUCGUGAGAUGUCGGGUUAAGUCCCAUAACGAGCGAAACCCUUGCCUCCAGUUGCCAGCGAGUAAUGUCGGGGACUCUGGAGGGACUGCCGGUGUUAAACCGGAGGAAGGUGGGGAUG
Molecule: ribosomal RNA, 275 nt
Filed under: uncultured Planctomycetota bacterium
Lineage: Bacteria; Pseudomonadati; Planctomycetota
Description: uncultured planctomycete partial 16S ribosomal RNA
Rfam family: Bacterial small subunit ribosomal RNA
Source: RNAcentral